AAGGAUCAUUAAAAGAUAUAGCAUAUUCUUCUGAAUAUACUUUAUUAACCCAUUCCGAGUACCUUACCCGUUGCUUCCGCGAGGCUGUCCUCACGGCCCUCUGAAGAUUUAUCUUUGGGGAGUCCUUGCGGAAGGUAUACAAUAAACUCUUGCAUUACCAUGUCAUCUGUCUGAAUCUGUUUAAAACAAAUAUUAAAACUUUCAACAACGGAUCUCUUGGUUCUCGCAUCGAUGAAGAACGCAGCGAAAUGCGAUAAGUAGUGUGAAUUGCAGAAACUAGUGAAUUAUUGAAUCUUUGAACGCACAUUGCGCCUCCUGGUAUUCCGGGAGGCAUGCCUGUUCGAGCGUCAUUAAAAACCACUCAAGCUCUUUUGCUUGGUCAUGGAAGAAGAGUUUGCUUGCAAUCUCCCUUCCGAAAUUCAAAGGCGGAAAGUCUCAGAGCCCCGGCGUAGUAAUAAUAUUUCGCUUGGAACUUGUGAUGAUCCUGCCCUUAACCCCCAAUUUUAUCUAGGUUGACCUCGGAUCAGGUAGGGAUACCCGCUGAACUUAAGCAUAUCAAUAAGCGGAGGAAAAGAAACCAACAGGGAUUGCCUUAGUAACUGCGAGUGAAGCGGCAAAAGCUCAAAUUUGAAAUCUGGCGUCUUCGACGUCCGAGUUGUAAUUUGGAGGGGCAUCUUCGGAAUUGGCGCCGUCCUAAGUUCCUUGGAACAGGACGUCAUAGAGGGUGAGAAUCUCGUGCCUGGAUGGCUGUCCAAUUCCAUGUGAAGUGUCUCCGACGAGUCGAGUUGUUUGGGAAUGCAGCUCAAAAUGGGUGGUAAAUUUCAUCUAAAGCUAAAUAUUGGCGAGAGACCGAUAGCGCACAAGUAGAGUGAUCGAAAGAUGAAAAGCACUUUGAAAAGAGAGUUAAAAAGUACGUGAAAUUGUUGAAAGGGAAGCGCUUGAGACCAGACUCAAUCUUAGGUGAUCAGCCGUGCUUCUGUACGGUGCACUUCCCUUUGAUUGGGCCAGCAUCAGUUCUGACGGUGGGAUAAAAUGCGGAGGAAUGUGGCUCUCUUCGGGGAGUGUUAUAGCCUCUGUAACAAUGCCGCCAGUUGGGA
Molecule: ribosomal RNA, 1097 nt
Filed under: uncultured Byssonectria
Lineage: Eukaryota; Fungi; Ascomycota; Pezizomycetes; Pezizales; Pyronemataceae
Description: eukaryotic LSU rRNA
Rfam family: Eukaryotic large subunit ribosomal RNA (bases 514-1097)
Source: RNAcentral